GAUGAAGAACGUAGCGAAAUGCGAUAAGUAAUGCGAAUUGAAGAAUUCAGUGAAUCAUCGAAUCUUUGAACGCACAUUGCGCCCGCCAGUACUCUGGCGGGCAUGCCUGUCUGAGCGUCAUUUCAACCCUCGCGCCCGGCUUCUGUCGGGGGCGGUGUUGGGGAUCGGCCUCCCGUCUUCCGGGCGGCCGGCCCCUAAAUGGAGUGGCGACCGCGCCGUAGCCUCCUCUGCGUAGUAGUGAAACACUCGCGGGCGGAGAGCGGUGCGGCCCGCCGUAAAACCCCCAACUCUUCUAAGGUUGACCUCAGAUCAGGUAGGAAUACCCGCUGAACUUAAGCAUAUCAAUAAGCGGAGGA
RNAcentral lists this unclassified non-coding RNA (356 nucleotides) under soil metagenome. Its description in RNAcentral is "partial contains 5.8S ribosomal RNA, internal transcribed spacer 2, and large subunit ribosomal RNA". The stretch from base 1 to 120 matches the Rfam family "5.8S ribosomal RNA", at positions 35 to 154 of the family's 154-position model. The record is from RNAcentral.